Molecule: transfer RNA, 85 nt
Filed under: Felis catus (domestic cat)
Lineage: Eukaryota; Metazoa; Chordata; Mammalia; Carnivora; Felidae
Rfam family: tRNA
About the family: Transfer RNA (tRNA) molecules are approximately 80 nucleotides in length. Their secondary structure includes four short double-helical elements and three loops (D, anti-codon, and T loops).
Source: Rfam by way of RNAcentral
GCCUGGGUGGCUCAGUCAGUUAAGCGUCUGACUUCGGCUCAGGUCAUGAUUUCAUGGUUCGUGGGUUCGAGCCCCACAUCAGGCU